GACGAACGCUGGCGGCGCGCUUAACACAUGCAAGUCGAGCGAGAACCAGGGCUUCGGCUCUGGGGACAGCGGCGAACGGGUGAGUAACACGUGAGUAAUCUGCCCUCGACACUGGGAUAGCCCGGGGAAACCCGGAUUAAUACCGGAUAGCCUUUCGAGCUCUCGGGCUCGUCAGAAAAGGAUGGCUUCGGCUUUCGGUUGAGGAUGAGCUUGCGGCGGAUUAGCUUGUUGGUGAGGAACGGCUCACCAAGGCGACAAUCCGUAGCUGGUCUGAGAGGACGAUCAGCCACACUGGGACUGAGACACGGCCCAGACUCCUACGGAGGCAGCAGUGGGGAAUCUUGCGCAAUGAGCGAAAGCUUGACGC
RNAcentral lists this ribosomal RNA (367 nucleotides) under uncultured bacterium. RNAcentral describes it as "bacterial SSU rRNA". It matches the Rfam family "Bacterial small subunit ribosomal RNA", at positions 28 to 389 of the family's 1533-position model. The record is from RNAcentral.